AAUUAAUCUAAGGAAUGAAACUGUCUGCUCUAUUUUAUCUGCAGGGGAAGACCUCGUCCUUCUACUGUCAGUGGCAGGAGGUCAAAUGCAUCCCAUCACAACUGUUCAGUUGGAGUGUGACAUUUGUUUCUUUCUGGAUCUUCACCGACAUAGAACUCACUUCCAUAAACGGCUUUAGGAGAAAGAUAUUCAGCAUUGAACUCUGGGUUUGGAUGGCCAUGUAUUUGAAAAACAUAGAACUUAGAGGUAAGUCAUUUGGG
RNAcentral lists this long non-coding RNA (260 nucleotides) under Cricetulus griseus (Chinese hamster). RNAcentral's name for it is "lncRNA (ENSCGRG00000025748.1)". The record is from RNAcentral. Lineage: Eukaryota; Metazoa; Chordata; Mammalia; Rodentia; Cricetidae.